GACAGAGGGGGCAAGCGUUGCUCGGAAUUACUGGGCGUAAAGGGCGCGUAGGCGGGAUGGCAAGUCGGUCGUGAAAUACCUCGGCUCAACUGAGGAGCGUCGAUCGAAACUGCCGUUCUUGAGGGUUGCAGAGGAGACUGGAAUUCCCGGUGUAGCGGUGAAAUGUGUAGAGAUCGGGAGGAACACCGGUGGCGAAGGCGGUUCUCUGGGCAUUACCUGACGCUGAGGAGCGAAAGUGUGGGGAGCGAACAGG
RNAcentral lists this ribosomal RNA (253 nucleotides) under uncultured bacterium. RNAcentral's name for it is "partial 16S ribosomal RNA". It matches the Rfam family "Bacterial small subunit ribosomal RNA", at positions 524 to 776 of the family's 1533-position model. The record is from RNAcentral.